RNAcentral lists this transfer RNA (72 nucleotides) under Candidatus Woesebacteria bacterium. Its description in RNAcentral is "tRNA-Glu". It matches the Rfam family "tRNA". From Rfam's summary of the family: Transfer RNA (tRNA) molecules are approximately 80 nucleotides in length. Their secondary structure includes four short double-helical elements and three loops (D, anti-codon, and T loops). The record is from RNAcentral. Lineage: Bacteria; Candidatus Woeseibacteriota. RNAcentral also lists the same sequence under 1 other name.
GGCCCUGUCGUCUAGCGGUUAGGACAUCGGGUUCUCAUCCCGAUAACUGGGGUUCGAUUCCCCACGGGGUCA